UACGUAGGGUGCAAGCGUUAAUCGGAAUUACUGGGCGUAAAGCGUGCGCAGGCGGUUUUGUAAGUCUGACGUGAAAUCCCCGGGCUUAACCUGGGAAUUGCGUUGGAGACUGCAAGGCUGGAGUCUGGCAGAGGGGGGUAGAAUUCCACGUGUAGCAGUGAAAUGCGUAGAGAUGUGGAGGAACACCGAUGGCGAAGGCAGCCCCCUGGGCCAAGACUGACGCUCAUGCACGAAAGCGUGGGGAGCAAACAGG
Molecule: ribosomal RNA, 253 nt
Filed under: uncultured bacterium
Lineage: Bacteria
Description: partial 16S ribosomal RNA
Rfam family: Bacterial small subunit ribosomal RNA
Source: RNAcentral